UCCCAAGUGGCUCAGUGGUAAAGAAUCUGCCUGCGAAUGCAGGAGACACAGGUUUGAUUCCUGGGUUGGGAA
This 72-nucleotide transfer RNA is filed under the name Capra hircus (goat). It matches the Rfam family "tRNA". Rfam says of the family: Transfer RNA (tRNA) molecules are approximately 80 nucleotides in length. The record is from Rfam by way of RNAcentral. RNAcentral also lists the same sequence under 1 other name. Lineage: Eukaryota; Metazoa; Chordata; Mammalia; Artiodactyla; Bovidae.